This 442-nucleotide ribosomal RNA is filed under the name uncultured bacterium. RNAcentral's name for it is "partial 16S ribosomal RNA". It matches the Rfam family "Bacterial small subunit ribosomal RNA", at positions 338 to 795 of the family's 1533-position model. The record is from RNAcentral.
CCUACGGGAGGCAGCAGUGGGGAAUAUUGGGCAAUGGGCGCAAGCCUGACCCAGCAACGCCGCGUGAAGGAAGAAGGCUUUCGGGUUGUAAACUUCUUUUGUCAGGGAAGCAUAGCACACGGUACCUAACGAAUAAGCCACUGCUAACUACGUGCCAGCAGCCCCGGUAAUACGGAGGUGGCACGCGUUGUCCGGAUUUACUGGGGGUAACGGGCGUGUAGCCGGGUUGACAAGGCAGAUGGGAAAUCCUGGGGCUUAACCGCAGAACUGCAUUUGAAACUGUUGAUCUUGAGUACUGGAGAGGCAGAUGGAAUGCCUAGUGUAGCGGUGAAAUGCGUAGAUAUUAGGAGGAACACCAGUGGCGAAGGCGGUCUGCUGGACAGCAACUGACGGUGAGGCGCGAAAGCGUGGGGAGCAAACAGGAUUAGAUACCCCUGUAGUC